UCCGAGUUGACCCCGGCAGUCUCCUAUGAGUCCCCGCCAUCACGCGCUGGCAACAUAGAACGAGGGUUGCGCUCGUUGCGGGACUUAACCCAACAUCUCACGACACGAGCUGACGACAACCAUGCACCACCUGUGCAGGACCCUUGCGGACCCCCCAUCUCUGGAGGAUUUCCCUGCAUGUCAAGCCUUGGUAAGGUUCUUCGCGUUGCGUCGAAUUAAGCCACAUGCUCCGCUGCUUGUGCGGGCCCCCGUCAAUUCCUUUGAGUUUUAGCCUUGCGGCCGUACUCCCCAGGCGGGGUGCUUAAUGCGUUAGCUGCGGCACGAACGGCGUGGAAUACCGCUCACACCUAGCACCCACCGUUUACGGCGUGGACUAC
This 377-nucleotide unclassified non-coding RNA is filed under the name uncultured Frankiales bacterium. RNAcentral's name for it is "contains 16S-23S intergenic spacer region". Lineage: Bacteria; Bacillati; Actinomycetota; Actinomycetes; Frankiales. The record is from RNAcentral.